Homo sapiens (human) is the source of this 617-nucleotide long non-coding RNA. RefSeq lists it as uncharacterized. The record is from RefSeq and is a predicted model, not a curated record. The transcript has 2 exons. Lineage: Eukaryota; Metazoa; Chordata; Mammalia; Primates; Hominidae.
AUUCUCCUGUCGCAGCCUCUCAAGUAUCUGAGACCACAGGGUACAACAGUCCCAGCCCCGCCCAUCACACCCACAACCCUUAUGUACGCCCAAGGGUGCCUGGCAUGCAAGAUUCUAAGAGCAAUGGGUUGCAAGUCCCUUUGACAAAGUUUGCCUGGGGACCAGGAAAUUUAAGUCUACAUCCGAGGACCAAAGAUAUUUAAAUUAAAAACUUCCUACCAAAUCCAACAGCAGCUAAGAGAGUGGCGAAUGCGAUAUUACAGAAAUUGGUCUGCAGCCUCCAAAUGCCAAAGUGGCAGCUUGUUAUUUAUGAUAAGAUAAGGAGCAGCUCGUUACUAAAGAUAUCCAUGUCAACCCCACGCAUUGAGCAGAACAAAGGAUCGUUAAUGAUUCCUGGGCUUGUCAUGUUAGAAUGGGGUGGCGAUGAUAAAAGAGCAUCUAUAUAUGCUUUCCUUGUGACAUUUCUUAUUUUUAAACUCCAAUAUAAAAAUAUGUGUUAAUUGUUAUGAUUUGUGUCACAUGCUAUGCUCCAGGGCUGGACAGGAAACAGUGUCCCCAUUCUAGUAUUUUUAUAAUAAGCAAUAAACAAACAAUAAACAAUGACAACAAGAAGAGAA